Lotus japonicus is the source of this 656-nucleotide long non-coding RNA. RefSeq lists it as uncharacterized. NCBI's taxonomy places the organism in Eukaryota, Viridiplantae, Streptophyta, Magnoliopsida, Fabales, Fabaceae. The transcript has 3 exons. The record is from RefSeq and is a predicted model, not a curated record.
AACCCACGCAGCCCCCAACACCCACUAUCAAUAUUGUGUCCCUCAUCCUCUCUCUCGAAAUCUCUUUUCCUUGCCUCUGCAUAAAAACCAGCGGCACACUCUUCUUCCCUUCUACAUGUUCUUUUUGUUCUUCACUAGAAACAACCCCAAUUGACACCAUGAAAAAGACACGCUCAUGAGGAGAAGUUUGGGUAUCCAUGUGAAAAGGUUUCUAACAAGAAAUUGGGAGAUAGGGUUUGUGCUAAGGAAUUAGAAGAGUACCCACCCCUUCACGAUUAUGUUAUUGAGAUUUAUCGGCUAGUGGUUCGUUCCGUUCGCGUGGAGUUGUUGAGAGCGGUUCAGUUGAUUCGCCCUAGCGAUUCUCAGGCAACUAAGUAGCUGGCUCGUGUCAGAUUCAAAUCAAUCGAUUAUCUUAUUGGUAGGCCUCCUUUGGUUGGUGGCUCGAUUGGUGUCUUCUAUUUGAUUCUAGUUAUCUGCAGCUAUAGGGAGUCUUAGGUGGAUUGAUUCUGAAUUGUUAUUUAUUAUUUCAUUUAAGAAAUUGUACUUUAGUGAUGAAAUUGGAAUUUGGGUUUUCAUGGAGUUUUGGUUAUGAUGAAAACCAUUUGACAGGUUUAUUGUUUUGGAAAUGUUGAUAUUAUAAAGGAGGUUUUGUUGAA